Molecule: RNA transcript, 1225 nt
Organism: Monomorium pharaonis (pharaoh ant)
Lineage: Eukaryota; Metazoa; Arthropoda; Insecta; Hymenoptera; Formicidae
Gene name: putative nuclease HARBI1
Exons: 4
Source: RefSeq, a predicted model, not a curated record
AAAAUUGUAACUAUUAUACAUUUUUAGAAAUAUGGACAUAUAUCACGAAUUAUUUGAAGAUGAUGAUUAUGAAGAUUAUCAAAUGUUAAUAUUACUUCGUAAACCAUAUACCGUUCGGUUAUGUCCAGAUUUUUUAAAUAUAUUUGAUCAAAAUGAAUUUGUUGCACGAUUUCGAUUAAGUAAGGAAAUAGUUCUCAGAUUAGUUGAGUUCAUUUGUGAGAAAAUACAAACAAAAACAUUGAAAAAUAAUGCAAUAACACCAUUGCAUCAGCUGUUACUAACGUUACGUUUCUAUGCAACUGGAGCUUUUCAAAUUGCUAUUGCUGAUUUUGCAGGAAUUCAUGCAUCUACAGCAUGCAGAAUUAUAAAAAAAGUAACAAUAGCUCUGGCUUCUGAAUGCCAUCAUUACAUACAUUUUUCAGAAAACACAAUAGAUAUACGUAAAGAAUUUUACAAUAUCGCUAAGUUUCCACGAGUAAUUGGUGCAAUUGAUUGUACUCACGUAAAAACCCAAUCACCAGGUGGAGACGAGGCUGAAGUUUUCCGAAAUAGAAAGAGUUUUUUCAGUAUUAAUGUGCGAGCAGUAUGUAAUAGUAAUUUGGAAUUUCAAGAUGUAGUCUAGUCGCACGAUGGCCAAGUUCAACUCAUGAUGCUACUAUUUUUUAUGCAAGUCGUUUACUUGUUAGAUUUAUCCAGGGCGAAAUGCAAGAUAGAAUUUUACUAAGAGAUAAUGGAUAUUCUUGUUCUAAAUCUUUAAUGACUCCUUUAUUGCAAACACAUAAUCGUACUGAAGAAUUAUACAACGAAUCACAAAUUCGUACUAGAAAUGUUACUGAACGUUUUGGCAUAUGGAAACGCAGAUUUCCUAUUUUAGUAAUCGGUAUGAGAUUAUCUAUAGCCACUGCUCAAGCUAUUGUGGUCGCAACUGCAGUAUUACAUAAUAUUGCUCGUCAAAUGCAUGAUCUUGAGCCACCAGUUGAUUUUGAUGUCAUACAAUUAAUCGAUGCAUUAGAAAAUCAUGAAAAUCCAAUAGCAAUACCAGAUAAUGCUAGAGCCGAUACUGCAAGAAGAGUAUUAACUAAAACAUAUUUUAGAAGAUUAUUGCCAUAACUAUUUUGCAGAGCUUUUCUAUUAUGUUUCUAUAUUUCACAAUAUGUUAAUUAACAAUAAAAACUACGACUUAAAAGUCCCUAUAAUAAUAUACAUUUUUGUAUUAAAAAAAAUU